UUUAUUUUUUUUUUUUUUUUUUCAGGCUGAAAGGACUUCAGAAUGAUUGGGGCUUUGUCCAGUGCCUCCUUCGUCCCUCCCCAGCCGUGCCCUCUUGGUUUCCCUAACGUUAAAACUCGCACAGCUCACUGGAGAAAUAAAUAAUAAUAAUAAUAAUAAUAAUAAAAAAUAUCAGUCCCAACUAGCACAAUGUUAAGGCUGUUUUAUUUAGAAAAGGACAGGGGACAGCCCUAGAGGAAGCCAAAGUGGCUCCCUGAUGGCACUCCCUCCAGGAGCACUCCGGAGGUGUGCAGGGUUCCAGCUGUUGACACAUCCCGCUCAUCCCCCUUAUUCAUCUUUAUAUUGGAAAUGUCAGGAUCACACUUUCAUCUGGUGUUUCUGCAGACAUCUGGAAUGGUCUUUACAGUAUUGCAUCCUUUAUACUUUACAUUCAGCUAUUGAAGAAAUUGGACCAGUUUUUGUACUGCAAUUGAAUUCAUCUGCUUAAUUCCUACAAAGUUUGGGUGCUCUUAAGUUCCUUCUGUUGUUCAAAUACAAAUAAUUGGAAAUCAUAUACUAUGUGUCCCUGACCUUGCUGGAGAAAGAAAGCCGUUUAUGCUGUUUACUGUAUCAGAGCAGAGAGCUGGUGUGCAUUCUGCAUGCUUUCCCUCAUGAUAAAAAAUAAAAUGAAUUCAUGCUGCUGCAAUGUCUGCAAUAAAUGUAGCUGAAUCCUAUAAACACUGCCAGAGUACCUAGAAACCAAGGGAAUCAACAGCAUGGCUGCUUUAAGGGAGUUGAAAAUCACAUGUAAGUAAGUCUUGAAGCACAGCGGAAAAGGGUCAAAUUUAGCUUAUGGAAGAAAGCAUUUCCUAUUGAUUAUAGACAGCAUUUACUGCAUGAAUUGGACCUGACACUACAAUAGAUUGUAACCAUUGCUACUCUAACUGAAUUGACAAUAGCAAAAUUGAGAAUGAGAAGUGGUGAACUACAUUCAAACUGCAACUGCUGGAGCUACGGCUAAAAGCUCAGCACGUGUAACACCCAUCUCAGAGCCAUGAUCUCGGGGAAGCGUGUCCAUGUAUGUGCGUGUGCGUGAGAUGCACACACAAAUGCAACUCUAUGCAAAUACUGCAGAAAGACGUUAUAUUAAAAUCCAUCAUGAAAUUAUAUCUAAGCAAUAUUUGUGUGAAGUUACAGUGCUAGAUCUUACUGUGUUGAGUGUGUGGAUAGAAGUGGUUAUUUAUUAUGGAUGCAUUUGUGUCCAGUUACCUUUUCUUCUCUCAGAAUAAUGUCCACAGGCUACUACAAUAAUGUUGGACACCAGCUUCUGAGUUUCAGUGCACAGUGAAUGCAUUUCCCUGCAAUGCUAUAGAAGCUCGACACUUGACAUAUCUAGUGAAGCUACCUGAAGAACAACAUUGUUCUUCUUGUUCCCUGCAUAGAAAAAUGACUUUUGAUACAUAUCGCUGAAUUCUUUAUUGUGUACAGUAAUAUUCUUGCCAAGCAGAAAUCUGUAAACUGCAG
This 1503-nucleotide long non-coding RNA is filed under the name Cairina moschata (Muscovy duck). RNAcentral describes it as "domestica (muscovy Duck (domestic type)) lncRNA (ENSCMMG00000002789.1)". The record is from RNAcentral. Lineage: Eukaryota; Metazoa; Chordata; Aves; Anseriformes; Anatidae.